CGUUUGCUCUUCCGAUGUUCAUUGUCCCACCAUUUAUGACCCAUAUUAUGGAUCAGUGUUUUUGAAAGUGUGGUCUAGUGCUGCAUUUUAAUAAUCUCUCCAAGUGGUCAUUUUGCCUGUUUGAGCGCCUCAGCUUUAAGACAGUGAGGUUGAAGAUGAGACUUAUUCUUACUUGUCUUUGAAUUCUCAGACCUACCCUAGCUCCUGGCACAUUGUAGUUGAUCAAGUUUUGUUUGUUUGUUUGUUUUGUUUU
Non-coding RNA from Vicugna pacos (alpaca), 253 nucleotides. The record is from RefSeq and is a predicted model, not a curated record. NCBI's taxonomy places the organism in Eukaryota, Metazoa, Chordata, Mammalia, Artiodactyla, Camelidae.